GAUGAACGCUGGCGGCGUGCUUAACACAUGCAAGUCGAACGAUGAAGCCCAGCUUGCUGGGUGGAUUAGUGGCGAACGGGUGAGUAACACGUGAGUAACCUGCCCUUAACUCUGGGAUAAGCCUGGGAAACUGGGUCUAAUACCGGAUAGGAGCGUCCACCGCAUGGUGGGUGUUGGAAAGAUUUAUCGGUUUUGGAUGGACUCGCGGCCUAUCAGCUUGUUGGUGAGGUAAUGGCUCACCAAGGCGACGACGGGUAGCCGGCCUGAGAGGGUGACCGGCCACACUGGGACUGAGACACGGCCCAGACUACUACGGGAGGCAGCAGUGGGGAAUAUUGCACAAUGGGCGCAAGCCUGAUGCAGCGACGCCGCGUGAGGGAUGACGGCCUUCGGGUUGUAAACCUCUUUCAGUAGGGAAGAAGCGAAAGUGACGGUACCUGCAGAAGAAGCACCGGCUAACUACGU
RNAcentral lists this ribosomal RNA (465 nucleotides) under uncultured bacterium. RNAcentral describes it as "partial 16S ribosomal RNA". It matches the Rfam family "Bacterial small subunit ribosomal RNA", at positions 28 to 506 of the family's 1533-position model. The record is from RNAcentral.